Molecule: unclassified non-coding RNA, 279 nt
Organism: Papio anubis (olive baboon)
Lineage: Eukaryota; Metazoa; Chordata; Mammalia; Primates; Cercopithecidae
Rfam family: Metazoan signal recognition particle RNA
About the family: The signal recognition particle (SRP) is a universally conserved ribonucleoprotein. It is involved in the co-translational targeting of proteins to membranes.
Source: Ensembl
GCCUGCAGUCCCGGCUGCUCUGGAGGCUGAGACAGCAGGAUUGCUGGAGCCCAGGAGUUCUGGGCUGCAGUGCACUAUACCGGUCAGGUGUCUGCUGUAAUAAGCUUGGCAUCAAUAUGUUGACGUCUCAGAAGCAGGUGACCACCCGAUUCCCUAAGGAGGGGUGAACCAGCCCACGCUAGAAGUGGAACAGAUCAGAAUUCCUGUGCUGAUCAAUAGUGGAACUGCACCUCUGACUAGCUACUGCAGUCUACCCUGGGCCACAUAAGGCUGGCCCUG